GCAGCCUUCCAGUCCGUAACUGACGCUAAUGCUCGAAGGUGCGGGUAUCGAACAGGAUUAGAUACCCUGGUAGUCCGCACGGUAAACGAUGGAUGCCCGCUGUCGGCGAUACAAUGUCGGCGGCCAAGCGAAAGCGUUAAGCAUCCCACCUGGGGAGUACGCCGGCAACGGUGAAACUCAAAGGAAUUGACGGGGGCCCGCACAAGCGGAGGAACAUGUGGUUUAAUUCGAUGAUACGCGAGGAACCUUACCCGGGCUUGAACUGCAGCAGGCGGAUCCAGAGAUGGUGACUCCCUUCGGGGCUGCUGUGGAGGUGCUGCAUGGUUGUCGUCAGCUCGUGCCGUGAGGUGUCGGCUUAAGUGCCAUAACGAGCGCAACCCUUGCUGUCAGUUGCCAUCAGGUUAAGCUGGGCACUCUGAGAGGACUGCCACCGUAAGGUGUGAGGAAGGUGGGGAUGACGUCAAAUCAGCACGGCUCUUACGUCCGGGGCAACACACGUGGACGGGGGGUGGGAACAAGAGUCGGGAACACGCAAGUCGCGGUCAAAUCAAAAAAGCCAUCCUCAGUUAAUGAAGGGGUAUGCAAUCCGACGCCAAGAAG
This 600-nucleotide ribosomal RNA is filed under the name uncultured bacterium. Its description in RNAcentral is "bacterial SSU rRNA". It matches the Rfam family "Bacterial small subunit ribosomal RNA", at positions 721 to 1325 of the family's 1533-position model. The record is from RNAcentral.